RNAcentral lists this long non-coding RNA (774 nucleotides) under Physcomitrium patens. RNAcentral describes it as "long non-coding RNA (PPAT_LNC009592)". Lineage: Eukaryota; Viridiplantae; Streptophyta; Bryopsida; Funariales; Funariaceae. The record is from RNAcentral.
GUAAAUUGUAGGUGCAACGGAGGCAGAAAAAAUAAACUGAGAUUGUGUUCAGGAGUUUGAAAGCCCUACUAUGCGGUCUCAAUUUCAAAUCAAUCGACCUGAGGAUGAAGAAACCAGCUAAACGACAAAGAUUUAUCAGUCAUGGAAAAAUACCGCUCCCGAUUCAUUAGGACUUUUUUGUGCCGAAGCCUCUCUCAAGUGCUCCUCCAUAGCUUGUUGCCUUUUCCGCCAAUACUCCUCGAUUUUCUCUUUAGUUAAAGAGGUCCUGCUUCGAGUCAGCACUGCACAUAGAUUUGCACCAUGUCAAAAAACUACAAUCUAUCGUUAUCUUAACGAAAAAUGAAGUAAAAUAAUAAAACACAAACAGAAGAAAAACUAGUACACACGUUAUCCUACUGUACAGCGCACAUGUUCGAUCCCGUUUUCGAUAACAUCACCGACAUCAUGACAGGGGCUCCCUUCUGCUCCAGUUACCAUCCAACAAGCCUCGUUCCAACCAGCAAGCAAGUCGCAUUUUUAUACUAUAAUCAGCACUACUCAGUAAUCCUAAAACCAAACUCAACAAGUCCACCUGAAUUGGUUACACUUCACUGACCACAACCGCACACACAUCGCGAGCCGUACCUUUCUCUUCGUUCCAGGGAUUGUUAUCCCAUCCUGCCAUCAAAGAGCCCAUGGGUACUCAACAAUUCCAAAACGACAAGGUCAGACGACAACUUCUUCCCACGAACAACCUUCAACUCCCUCCAAUAAGCCUCCUAAUACUAAAUUGCA